This 377-nucleotide ribosomal RNA is filed under the name uncultured bacterium. RNAcentral describes it as "bacterial SSU rRNA". It matches the Rfam family "Bacterial small subunit ribosomal RNA", at positions 523 to 898 of the family's 1533-position model. The record is from RNAcentral.
AUACAGAGGGUGCAAGCGUUAAUCGGAAUUACUGGGCGUAAAGCGCACGUAGGUGGAUAUUUAAGUUGGGUGUGAAAGCCCCGGGCUCAACCUGGGAUGGUCAUCCAAAACUGGAUAUCUAGAGUACGGUAGAGGGAAGUGGAAUUUCAGGUGUAGCGGUGAAAUGCGUAGAUAUCUGAAGGAACAUCAGUGGCGAAGGCGACUUCCUGGACUGAUACUGACACUGAGGUGCGAAAGCGUGGGUAGCGAACAGGAUUAGAUACCCUGGUAGUCCACGCCGUAAACGAUGAGAACUAGCCGUUGGAGAUAUUAAAAUCUCUUGUGGCGCAGCUAACGCGUUAAGUUCUCCGCCUGGGGAGUACGGCCGCAAGGUUUAA